This 310-nucleotide long non-coding RNA is filed under the name Chloebia gouldiae (Gouldian finch). RNAcentral describes it as "Erythrura gouldiae (Gouldian finch) lncRNA (ENSEGOG00005004879.1)". Lineage: Eukaryota; Metazoa; Chordata; Aves; Passeriformes; Passeridae. The record is from RNAcentral.
CCACAUUGACCUGGGACCCCGUGGCAGAACUGGUGUGGGAAAAACCAGCUGGGUGCAUCAGCAGCAAGGCCAUUUCUUCUCAGCAGCCCUUGCAGUGUAUGUGAAGAGGCUGUUUCCAGGCAGCUCAGCAGCACUGGUGCCAGCCUUGCCAGUGAGCACAGCAUGCUCCCGCAGACAUGGGGACAGCACCCCAGUGGUGACAGCACCCCAGAGGUGACACCUCCCAGCCUGGGACAGGGGCCCUGCAGCAGCCCUGGGGCCAGGAGCCAUGUGUCCUUCCUGGAGCAGCUGCCAGAGACCAUACCUAGUG